UACGAGCGGCCCAAACGUUAUUCGGAAUUACUGGGCUUAAAGAGUUCGUAGGCGGCGCAGAAAGUAGGGUGUGAAAGCCCUCGGCUCAACCGAGGAAUUGCGCUCUAAACUACUGUGCUUGAGGAAUCUAGAGGUGAGCGGAACUGAUGGUGGAGCGGUGAAAUGCGUUGAUAUCAUCAGGAACACCGGAGGCGAGGGCGGCUCACUGGGGAUUUUCUGACGCUGAGGAACGAAAGCCAGGGGAGCGAACGGG
Molecule: ribosomal RNA, 253 nt
Filed under: uncultured bacterium
Lineage: Bacteria
Description: partial 16S ribosomal RNA
Rfam family: Bacterial small subunit ribosomal RNA
Source: RNAcentral